Molecule: ribosomal RNA, 501 nt
Filed under: uncultured bacterium
Lineage: Bacteria
Description: partial 16S ribosomal RNA
Rfam family: Bacterial small subunit ribosomal RNA
Source: RNAcentral
ACUGAACGCUGGCGGCAGGCUUAACACAUGCAAGUCGAGCGGGGGAAGGUAGCUUGCUACCGGACCUAGCGGCGGACGGGUGAGUAAUGCUUAGGAAUCUGCCUAUUAGUGGGGGACAACAUCUCGAAAGGGAUGCUAAUACCGCAUACGUCCUAUGGGAGAAAGCAGGGGAUCUUCGGACCUUGCGCUAAUAGAUGAGCCUAAGUCGGAUUAGCUAGUUGGUGGGGUAAAGGCCGACCAAGGCGACGAUCUGUUGCGGGUCUGAGAGGAUGAUCCGCCACACUGGGACUGAGACACGGCCCAGACUCCUACGGGAGGCAGCAGUGGGGAAUAUUGGACAAUGGGGGGAACCCUGAUCCAGCCAUGCCGCGUGUGUGAAGAAGGCCUUAUGGUUGUAAAGCACUUUAAGCGAGGAGGAGGCUACUUUAGUUAAUACCUAGAGAUAGUGGACGUUACUCGCAGAAUAAGCACCGGCUAACUCUGUGCCAGCAGCCGCGGUAA